This 5726-nucleotide long non-coding RNA is filed under the name Triticum aestivum (bread wheat). Its description in RNAcentral is "long non-coding RNA (TAES_LNC022808)". Lineage: Eukaryota; Viridiplantae; Streptophyta; Magnoliopsida; Poales; Poaceae. The record is from RNAcentral.
AGUUUGAAUGGAUGUAAAUACUUUUUGCCAAAUUGCUCCAGAUUUCUGUAUGGUAGGCACACAACCUUGAUGAGCCAAUGUAAAAGUACAUAUGAAUUUCCCGGAUUUGACAACGCAUACUUCAGUACAUAGCGCACCAUUAAAUUGCUGCACAAUGACUAAAAAUUCAUAAAAACUGCCAAAGAUGCAUAAAAACUGCCAAAGAUGCAUAGUGCACCAUUGAGGUAUUAACCAUUCAUACUUUCUAGAUACAUUACAGUGCAUCUACAUACCAAAGGUAUGUGUACAACAAGAAUCUGAAAAAAAAUCUGAAUCCCUCUCACGCUUUUGUACUUGGUCUUCUCACAUUUAUCUCAUUUUCACAUUACUUCUUCCUCUUCUCCUAGUACCUCUCACUGCCUUCUUUGAUUCUGCACCCAGCAAGCCCAAGAUGUCCAUAAAUAAAAAACUAACAAACACUGCACAAAAAGAUGUUGUUAAUAGGGUUGCAAGAAUGCUAAAAAAAUACAAUAUAAACAAUGAUGCUAGAAUAGUAAUUGUGUAACACCAUUCGACAACUACAACUCGUGAAGGAAAUAUAUCAAAACAUCCACCAACGAGGUGCAUGAAUAUUAGUUUCCCAUGGAAAUUAUAAAAACUGUACGUAGGUAGCCAGCUUUUCUCCUCUAUUUUUUUGCAUACUCAAAGAAUAUGAAGUCUGAAAGGUUCUAAUUAUAAAACACACUCCAAAGCAAACCUAUUUUCCUAUUCCAUAUCAAAAUAUAAACUAUUUGAUGAUAAUCCAACUUGGAAAUGUAGUCAUCUUUUCCAAGGGACCUUCUCUAAGCAAUAAGAAGAAAGUUCAUGCCACAAAAGGGAGCUUCUCUAAGCAGUAAGUAGAAAGUUCAGGUCAUAAAGUCUACUCUUAGACAUAUACACAAUAAAAUAAAACAAUGAUCACUUGGACUAAUUGGAGAAUAACAUGCGAGCUUAUAGCAUUUGAUCACUUGAACUUAUAACAAUAGGAAUAAGAAAUAUGUACGGCCUCCGACCUGUGGAGAUUAUAAGAAAUUUGUAAAUGCUAGUACUGCAACCAACAUUUAUAAAUACUAGUAAACUUGAACUUAUGGUCUCUCGAGAUUUGAACUGAUUGUGUUACAAGCACACGCACAAAAAUCCAACGAAGCUGAUAUCAAUACAUGUUAAAAAGAUAAUCAAGUUCAUGUAUAUUAAUUUUGAGAAGUUUAGAAAGAAACUUUUUUAAAAGUUUGUACUGAAAAGAUGUGCAAACAUAUGCAAACAUAUUUAGUGCUUUUUUAGGAAGGAACUCAAUUCAACAAAACAUAUGCAAACAUCUCGGCUUUGAACUUCUAUAUUUUUUAUUUGAGCUUACUUCUCUUGAGAUUUGAACUGAUUUGUGUUACAAGCACACGAACAACUCUGAAUGAGAUGAUGUUGGUACAUGUAAAAAAGAUGACCAAGUGCAUGUAUAUUAACCGGAGAAGUUCAUAAAGGAGCUUCAUCUUCACCAUACUGACUAGACCAAUACUGAAAAAUUGAAGUAUGAGAGGGAUACCCGCUUAAGUUCAAACUACAGAAACAUAAGCUGCAAGCUCUAUGCAAAGUAACCUAUCAUCUAUUUUCGAAAGCAUCUAAAUGGAUGGUUAUAGGUUUAGACAGAAGUUAAGUUUCAGCAAUGCCCUUGCGGCAAAGCAAACUAAAAUGUAUCAUUUUGCGUCAAGACUCUGCACAUUUAAAGCAUAAUGCAUUGAAAAGAACACACAUGUUGAACUGAAAAUCAAAAUAAAAGUUGGGGUAGCAUGCCUGUGAGGAAGGAGGUUGAGGGCAGCAGGGCGCAUAGUGGACGAAGGACGCACAAGGAAGAUGAGUUACCUCAUUGCUAGGCUGCGAGGUGACCUCCAUCGUGGAGGUCCUCGGGUUGGAGCGCAUCAGCAAUGAGUGGGGCUGCAACAGGGGACAUGUUGCAGUGUGCACGCAUGGCAACGUCAUCCUUGUCGUCAUGGAGAAGUAGGACUGCUGGAGACAUUGCAAAACAGCACAACAAUAUUACAUGUUUUCUGAAGUUGAGUAAAACAUGUUUGAGAUUAUCAACAGUACACAUAUUGUAUCUUUCAGCUAUCAGUUCAAGAGUCAAAAACUUUUCGAACUGAUGUUUUUUUGUCAUCGAACUGAUGUAAUUUUUUGUAUUUUCAAUUGUUGUAACUAUGUAGUUGAACGUAUAGAUUUCCAUUUUAUAAUUUUGCUCUUAUAAAUAUCAUAUGUGUUUGUUUACGUACUGAAAACGGAAUACAUACUGAACCUGACAAUACGGAAACAACAAUACUUCAUAGUCAUUCUCUCUUUGUUGCCAUAUGGUUAGAGCUUAGAGCAUCUUCAGCGGUUCGGCCCCCCAGGGCGAAUCGCCCCUGGGGGCGAGCCGACGAUUCUUUCGGCGCUGUGGGUGGUUUUGCGCCCAGUCGUCGCCCCCAGUCGCCGAUUUUGGCCCACUUUUGAAGCCCCAUUUCGGUGAAAAAGGCCCAUAUGGGCGAGAAUAGGCCCAUAUUCGGCGUGGUUCACCGUGGCUCGGCAUUCAAUUAUCAACAUAAAUAUUUUUUAUCACAUAUUUCAUCACAGAAAUUUCAAAUACUUCAACAAAAUAGUACAACAACAAAUAGUUCAAUACAAAUUAUAUAGUUCAACAAAUAAAAACUCAUAUUUCAUCACACGUCGCGCCCGGUGUCGCCCUUGAGCCUCCAUAGGUGCUCUAUCAGAUCUUGAUGCUGUUGAUGAUGCACCUGUGGGUCUAUGAUCUCCUGACACAUACUGAGGUAGGCAAUCCAGGUUGCCGGUAGCUGGUGAUCAACUUGGGCAAGAGGACCCUGCCGGUGGUAUGGUUCAGUUGCAAACAUUGGCUCUUCCUGCUCGCUCUCAAUGAUCAUGUUGUGCAAGAUGACACAGCAGGUCAUGUUCUCCCACAUUUGAUCUUUCGACCAGGUCUGAGCGGGGUACCGGACAAUAGCAAAUCGAGAUUGGAGCACACAAAAUGCCCGCUCGACAUCCUUCCUGGAAGCCUCCUGAAUCUUUGCAAACCAGGUGUUCUUGCCUCCAGGCACAGGGUUUUUGAUGGUCUUCAAAAAUGUCGAACAUCUCGGAUAGAUGCCAUCAGCUAGAUAGUACCCCUUGUUGUACUGCCGCCCAUUGAUCUCAAAGUACACCGGAGGAGAAUGACCUUCAACAAGCUUGGCAAAGACAGGAGAGCACUGCAGCACAUUCAUGUCAUUAUGAGUUCCUGGCAUACCAAAGAAGGAGUGCCAAAUCCAGAGGUCCGGUGCAAUCCAUCUUGCAUUUGAAGUAGUUGUCGAACUCCUGGAUGGAAUUCACAAUCCGGAGGAAAAGCUUUCUGCUCAUCCGAUAACGGUGCCGAAAUGUUCUGUCGCCGUGAAGUGGAGCAUCGGUGAAGUAGUCGGAGUAGAGCAUGCAGUAGCCUUCGAGACAAUGCCGAUUCUUUGCUUUCACCCGCCCCGACGCCGAGCCACCUCGCCGCGGCUUUUCAUUGCUCGCCAAUAGCUGGGCGAGGGCGACAAGCACCAUGAGAUGCUGUUCUUCCUGGAUGUCGGCCUCGGCUUCCUCCUCCAGCAGCGCGGCGAGCACUUCCUCAUCAUCCGAGUCCAUCGCCGAGGCAGGCAAAUCGCUGAACACCUUGCGCGCGGUGGGCGUGCACCCGCCGCUAAACUGCCCCUCCACGGCCGAAAAUGCCCAGCUGGUAUCGGAGGGGCUGUCGCAGCGAACCUAUGCUAUUUUUCCGGCGGGGAAUGGCUAUCUACCGGUUAAGGGCAGCGGGGCGGCACCGGGAUAUACCUAGUUGCGGCCGAGAGCGCGGGGGGUGGGAGGCGGUCGGGGAAGAAAAUCUUGACUUUUCACCUGACGGCGUGGGCCAGCCGCGCUUUUCCCUUGCGCCGGAGCCCCCAAGCGCCCCCAGCGCGCCGGGUUCGGCCUGCGGCCGCCGGGCGGAGAAAAGGGCCGAACCGGCGCUUUUCGUCGUCUUGGGGGCGCGACUGGGCCGUUUUUUUGGUGUCGGCGCCGAAAAAGUCGCCUGGGGGGCCCGUUGGGGGCGCAGCUGGAGAUGCUCUUACAGCCACAUUAGCAAAAUCUUUUAUUGUAUUUUUUAAUAAUAUGACAUAUAGUAUAAAACCAAACUGGGUUUUAACGCAUACAAUUGAACUUUUUUCUGUACGUCUUGUUUGAACUGAUGACAUAUAUACAUGGUAAACUAUAGAGCAUCAGCUUUUGCAGUAAACACAAUUCAUAUUUUUAGAAUCAGGAGAUGGAUCGAACUGAUUGUUCUAGGUAUGGUGAACUGAUUUUUGCAGAUAAAAAUCUAGUUUCUAGGUACGGCGGACUGCUGCUCAUGACUAACUCGACCAUCUCGAUGCCAUGGGGUUGAACUGAGGACGGCUAUGGGAGUAGGGAGCAUCGAGCGCGGUGGGUGGUGGCGCAUACCUAGGUGAAGCAGGAAGGAGACGCACAUGCGAACAAAGGCUGGCUGCUUUGGGCCCCGCGGUUGGAGGCCGUCUUCAGCCAUGGCAAGCACCGGGGUGCGCCUUCCUCAGUCGUGGAGCAAGUUGCGCCUCCACACUUUCCCACAAAUUGUGCAGAACACAACUUCUAGCAACACGAUAUGUAGUAGUAGUAGUAGCAUUAAUGUAGGUGGCAAGGUAGCAGUGGCAAAAAAGUAGGCAAUUAUUCUUAAUUUGCUCCACAACAGCUUCUGUUCACAUUUGCUACAACUUUCAGUUGGAAAAGAAAGACAAAACGGAUAGAAAAUCCCCCAGUUGGGGUAGUGAACCUUUUUACUAAAUAACUACAAUUCUACCAUAUAGUAAACUGUUGUAUAACUAGAAAACAGUCUGAAUUUUUUGCGCAAACACCGUACUGUUUUAUAUGUUUUCCAAGAACUUGAGAUAGCUCACGUAUUGAACUGAGAACACCUAGUUUGUGUUUCAGGAAAUAAAAUAGACAUCCUCUGCUUUUUGUGAUAAAACUAGUGUGGACUUGGGAGGAGCGGCAGUGUGGAUGGUCAAUUAACCUCUCUUUUCUCUUGCUCCUGAAUGCAAGCAGUUGGGAUCUCGGGGCGACAGAGGUGGUCGUCGCGCGACGGGGAGGAGCAGGAAGGGGCGGAGGUGGUUGUUGCCGAUGUUCCUCCUUCCCACCGGUGGCCGCCCCUACGGAGGCAGAUCCAUGGUCCGUCGCGGAGGUGGGAGGCGAGGGCGCAGUGCGUCGCCGGAGGUUAGAUGAAAUUCGAACUAGAUUAGAUGAAAUUCUACACACACAAAAUGCACGGUGGGAACUAGAUUAGAAGAAUUCUUUUUUCACAUUUGACCACUGAGUUUUUACACAGUGUACUUAUAUAGUUUCAUCUUUUUAGCAAGCUACAGUAGAAAUGAAAAUAUGUUGGAGGGAGCAUGCUAGAUUAGAAGAAAUUCUUUUUUCACAUAUGACACCUGAACUUGAACUUGUUAUUCCCAAAAAAGUCCCCUUGAAUGUUUUGUUUUUUCGAACUUCCCAAGUUUACGUUUUCGAACUGAUUGAAUAGUAGUAUAUGAGCUCACCAACACGAUGAAAUUUCUACUGAACACUAAGGUGCAUAAUAUACACACAAGGUACCUGAACAAUUUACUUAGCCUGGUCGAAGGAGAAGGUGCAGCAGCAGCAACAAGUUGUGAAAGAAGAACUUGUCGCUCGUGGAG